UGUUGAAUAUUUUAGUUGGAAAUUCUGAUUUUUUAUAGAUUUUUUAUUCUCAAAUUAUAAAAAGUAGAAUAAACGAAGAUGGGAAAGGAAAAUAAAAAAUAAAGUAUGCCAGGACAUGGGCUGACCUGAACAGGAGCGUUGUGUCUUCUCCGAGCGGGUGGACCGCAGUAUAGGACAUUUAAUGGAUGGGCCGGCCCAUAGGAGGAUUUUUUGGUGUGAACCUCUUUUCCCACUUACCGGUGACAUGGUGAGUAAUUAUUGACAACUUUAAAGUUAAUUUGAAUGACGAAUGAUCAAAAGCAGUCUGCAUUUUAUUAUUAUUAGGUAGAUAGAUAGAGAAGUGAGAACACAAUAAAAAGUACCAAUUUUGCUUUGAGCUGCUUGGAGACUCGAGUGUUGUUGUAGAAUAUUUCAUUUUUCAAAUGCAUCGCCUAUUGCUAGUAAAUCUAUAGGUCAAGGAAAUAUGUUGCCUUGUGUAGUUGGAAUUACACAUGGAUCGAUUGUGUGUGCUAUUUUUUAAUGGAAACACAUAAACAGUAUACUUCGUUUGCAAGAUGGGUAACUUAAAUUCUAAUUUAAAUAAAAGUGAGGACGCAACAAAAAGUACGGAUUUUGUUGCACACAUUAAGUGUACACUUGUUCUACA
RNAcentral lists this long non-coding RNA (646 nucleotides) under Hordeum vulgare. Its description in RNAcentral is "long non-coding RNA (HVUL_LNC001442)". The record is from RNAcentral. Lineage: Eukaryota; Viridiplantae; Streptophyta; Magnoliopsida; Poales; Poaceae.